AACGCUAGCUACAGGCUUAACACAUGCAAGUCGAGGGGCAGCAUUAGGUAGCAAUACUGAGAUGGCGACCGGCGCACGGGUGCGUAACGCGUAUCCAACCUUCCCGUUACUCAUGGAUAGCCUUCCGAAAGGGAGAUUAAUACAUGAUGGUGUUGAAAUUCCGCAUGUUAUUUCAACUAAAGAUUUAUCGGUAACGGAUGGGGAUGCGUGACAUUAGAUAGUAGGCGGGGUAACGGCCCACCUAGUCUACGAUGUCUAGGGGUUCUGAGAGGAAGGUCCCCCACACUGGAACUGAGACACGGUCCAGACUCCUACGGGAGGCAGCAGUGAGGAAUAUUGGUCAAUGGCCGGGAGGCUGAACCAGCCAAGUAGCGUGAAGGAUGAAGGUUCUAUGGAUUGUAAACUUCUUUUAUGAGGGAAUAAAACCUCCCACGUGUGGGAGCUUGUAUGUACCUUAUGAAUAAGCAUCGGCUAACUCCGUGCCAGCAGCCGCGGUAAUACGGAGGAUGCGAGCGUUAUCCGGAUUUAUUGGGUUUAAAGGGAGCGUAGACGGGAGAUUAAGUCAGCUGUGAAAGUUUGAGGCCCAACCUUAAAUUGCAGUUGAUACUGGUUUCCUUGAGUGCGGUUGAGGUGUAUGGAAUUCGUGGUGUAGCGGUGAAAUGCUUAGAUAUCACGAAGAACUCCGAUUG
Molecule: ribosomal RNA, 689 nt
Filed under: uncultured bacterium
Lineage: Bacteria
Description: bacterial SSU rRNA
Rfam family: Bacterial small subunit ribosomal RNA
Source: RNAcentral